GAUGAACGCUAGCUACAGGCUUAACACAUGCAAGUCGAGGGGAAACGCCAUCGAAAGCUUGCUUUUGAUGGGCGUCGACCGGCGCACGGGUGAGUAACGCGUAUCCAACCUGCCCAUCACUUGGGAAUAACCUUGCGAAAGUAAGACUAAUACCCAAUGAUAUCCCACGAAGGCAUCGGAAUGGGAUUAAAGAUUUAUCGGUGAUGGAUGGGGAUGCGUCUGAUUAGCUUGUUGGCGGGGUAACGGCCCACCAAGGCAACGAUCAGUAGGGGUUCUGAGAGGAAGGUCCCCCACAUUGGAACUGAGACACGGUCCAAACUCCUACGGGAGGCAGCAGUGAGGAAUAUUGGUCAAUGGGCGAGAGCCUGAACCAGCCAAGUAGCGUGCAGGAAGACGGCCCUAUGGGUUGUAAACUGCUUUUAUAAGGGAAUAAAGUGGGUCACGUGUGACUUUUUGCAUGUACCUUAUGAAUAAGGACCGGCUAAUUCCGUGC
RNAcentral lists this ribosomal RNA (493 nucleotides) under uncultured bacterium. Its description in RNAcentral is "partial 16S ribosomal RNA". It matches the Rfam family "Bacterial small subunit ribosomal RNA", at positions 28 to 508 of the family's 1533-position model. The record is from RNAcentral.